CCCUCCCCUCCCCUCCCCUCCUCCCUCCUCCGCACCGCACCACUCCCCCGGGCUGUCUCCUUCCCCCAGUUUUCUCCCCUCCCUCCACAGCAGCGAUUUGAAUCUGGUGCUCUCCCGCUUCCUCUCAUAUCCACCCCUGCCCGCGCAUGCGGCGCUGCCGCCGUGGAGAGGCGCCCCGCGGCCUGGGUUGGGACGAGCGGUCCCCUCGGAGCCGGAGGGCGAUUAUGGGGUCCGGCCGUCGACAUCGCCCUCCUCUGAGGGGCGGUCUUGGGGAAGGGGAGCGGGUCUGCGACCUCCGUUCUUCCCGCGGGAGUGGGUGUGGGGCCGAGAAGGCAGCCGGGCCCCGUCCUGUUUCCCAUGAGCGCGGCUGGUCCCUGCUCCCGCAAGCUGUCCGUGCUUUCCUCUCCGUGUUUUCCCCAGAGUCGGGGAUGCGUGGAAGCGUGGGGGGAAGAGCCAUUGAGACGUGUAACAAGAAGCAGUAG
RNAcentral lists this long non-coding RNA (482 nucleotides) under Cyanistes caeruleus (blue tit). RNAcentral describes it as "lncRNA (ENSCCEG00000002470.1)". The record is from RNAcentral. Lineage: Eukaryota; Metazoa; Chordata; Aves; Passeriformes; Paridae.